UUUCAGCACCAAUCCAGUGGUGACAGCUCCGUAUCGCAAGGUGAGCUUUCCAAAAUUGGAAGAGGGAUUUCGGCUUUCUGCGAUGCUGAUCGAGAGAGGGGAAGAGCGGGAAUACCGCCGCUGGGCUCUCUAACAAGGGGCCGCUUACACAGGGCAGAGAGAGAGAGAAAGAGAGAGAUAGAGAGAGGGCGAAGACGGGAGUGGGCUCAGCGCGACGAGGAAUCUGUCGGACACAGCACGAGUUUGGAGCGGCUCUCUCCGCUCUGUUCGGGUCCCUUAAAUUUCGGCUGGGGAUUCGAAUAUCAUUCCAGGACAGGACUCUCUGUAAGAAUUUCAACGCUCAGCCGCCGUCGUUUUGUAGGUGAUAUUUAACGCUGUGUAUACACCUAAGCUGAAUUCAGACUCGGCGCUCACUCCAAUUCUGGUGCUAACUACAGACUCUUCCUGUACUUCUCCGCGUUGCUGGGGAAAACGAAUCCUGGAUCUCUGCGUUUCGCUACCAUUCAUCACAUUUUCUUUUUCUCUAUCCACAACUGUCGGUUCAGAAAUGAGCCUUUGUAUCGAUCAGAACUUGGGAUCUCCCGGAUCAGAAUCUUAAGGGGCGAAACAGUACAAGAAUCAACCAAGAAAGGAAACUGUAGAAACCACUUGGACAAUGGGAGGAGCCGGAGCGCCCUGUGUGUAGUAGAGCUGGUGUAUGGACUUUACAAAUUUAAUCUCUGAAACUUGAAUACUCUGUCCCAAAGUGCACAUUCUCGAUUCCGAGAGAGAGAGGGGAAUCGAAUUGAAGAUAAUCCAAGACAAUCGUUGAAGGAGAAGAGAUCAACCUCUGACCUUUGGCGGGAGCGCUGCAUGAGGAAAGGGGCUAAGGGAUCAUCGUGAAGGGUCUGGAAGAGAGAGAGAAAGAGAAAGAGCAAUAAACAGUUCUUCUACAUUCAAGAUCGACAACUCAAGACUCUGAUGUAAAAAGAAGCCAAGACACAAUAUCACUGUU
Amblyraja radiata (thorny skate) is the source of this 994-nucleotide long non-coding RNA. RefSeq lists it as uncharacterized. The transcript is spliced from 3 exons. NCBI's taxonomy places the organism in Eukaryota, Metazoa, Chordata, Chondrichthyes, Rajiformes, Rajidae. The record is from RefSeq and is a predicted model, not a curated record.